Molecule: ribosomal RNA, 254 nt
Filed under: uncultured bacterium
Lineage: Bacteria
Description: partial 16S ribosomal RNA
Rfam family: Bacterial small subunit ribosomal RNA
Source: RNAcentral
UACGAAGGGGGCUAGCGUUGCUCGGAAUGACUGGGCGUAAAGGGCGCGUAGGCGGCCGCCGCAUGUCGGGCGUGAAAGUCCCGGGCUCAACCCGGGGACGGCGCUCGGGACGGCGGGGCUGGAGUGGGGAAGAGGGUCGUGGAAUUCCCAGUGUAGAGGUGAAAUUCGUAGAUAUUGGGAAGAACACCGGUGGCGAAGGCGGCGACCUGGUCCUCGACUGACGCUGAGGCGCGAGAGCGUGGGGAGCAAACAGG